UACGUAGGUCCCGAGCGUUGUCCGGAUUUAUUGGGCGUAAAGCGAGCGCAGGUGGUUUAUUAAGUCUGGUGUAAAAGGCAGUGGCUCAACCAUUGUAUGCAUUGGAAACUGGUAGACUUGAGUGCAGGAGAGGAGAGUGGAAUUCCAUGUGUAGCGGUGAAAUGCGUAGAUAUAUGGAGGAACACCGGUGGCGAAGGCGACUGUCUGGUCUGUAACUGACACUGAGGCGCGAAAGCGUGGGGAGCGAACCGG
RNAcentral lists this ribosomal RNA (252 nucleotides) under uncultured microorganism. RNAcentral's name for it is "partial 16S ribosomal RNA". It matches the Rfam family "Bacterial small subunit ribosomal RNA", at positions 524 to 776 of the family's 1533-position model. The record is from RNAcentral.